RNAcentral lists this ribosomal RNA (495 nucleotides) under uncultured bacterium. RNAcentral's name for it is "bacterial SSU rRNA". It matches the Rfam family "Bacterial small subunit ribosomal RNA", at positions 29 to 512 of the family's 1533-position model. The record is from RNAcentral.
AGUGAACGCUGGCGGCAGGCCUAAUACAUGCAAGUCGAACGGCAGCACAGCAGAGCUUGCUCUGUGGGUGGCGAGUGGCGGACGGGUGAGGAAUACAUGGGAAUCUGCCCAGUCGUGGGGGAUAACGUAUGGAAACGUACGCUAAUACCGCAUGCGCCCUACGGGGGAAAGUCGGGGACCGCAAGGCCUGACGCGAUUGGAUGAGCCCAUGUUCGAUUAGCUAGUUGGCGGGGUAAAGGCCCACCAAGGCGACGAUCGAUAGCUGGUCUGAGAGGAUGAUCAGCCACACUGGAACUGAGACACGGUCCAGACUCCUACGGGAGGCAGCAGUAGGGAAUAUUGGACAAUGGGGGCAACCCUGAUCCAGCCAUGCCGCGUGAGUGAAGAAGGCCCUCGGGUUGUAAAGCUCUUUUGUCCGGAAAGAAAAGCAUUCGGUUAAUACCCGGGUGUUCUGACGGUACCGGAAGAAUAAGCACCGGCUAACUUCGUGCCAGC